This is an RNA transcript of Juglans microcarpa x Juglans regia, 1174 nucleotides long. RefSeq lists it as uncharacterized. The transcript is spliced from 2 exons. The record is from RefSeq and is a predicted model, not a curated record. NCBI's taxonomy places the organism in Eukaryota, Viridiplantae, Streptophyta, Magnoliopsida, Fagales, Juglandaceae.
UUUGCUUGGUUUUUCACACAGCUUUACACUGUCAUGUAUUGCCACAAAGGAGCAACCAUUAGGAACAGUUCCAAGUUCCAACUUUCACUUUCGGCAGCACCAAUUUCUGUUCGUUCCCGGACAGGCAACAGCUGUUACCAACACGUUUUUUUUUAUCUCAGGGAUCCAAAGAUGUCUUCCUACCACUUGUUAAUCACAUUAUAAUAUUAAUCCUUUCAGCUCCCCCAAGACAAAAAAGAACUGGUAUUACUAUUUAUAUCACGUGCCUCAUCACAUGAUCCCUCUGUAGAUAUGUAUCAACUAUUUCCACCAAAUCUAGAGGUCAGAGUUGCAACAUGUAGCAGUCAACAUUGAGCACAUGAUCCCACUGACAUCACUUCCCCUACUACACAAGAUAUUACUGAGAUUUAAGGAAGUGGGCUAUAAAUCAAAGACUCCCAUACCAUCUUAAUCACAGAUUUGAAGAAACCAUCUUCAGUUCACUCCCAUAGAAAACAAGCAAGAUACCAUAAACCAUGAAGUCCUGGUCUAGAGCACUGGCUGCUCUCACUUUUGCACUUUCACUGCUAUCGUUAUUGUGGCCUGGUGGAGCUAAAGGAGCCAACCGCCAGCUAACAAAAGGAUCUUCCUUCUCGGGAUCAUCCUCUCAGGCUCUCAAAGAUUUGCAAGGGGACAGGACGAAUCCUUAUAAGCAGGUGGACUCAUGCUUUCGGAAGAUACCUCCAUCAACUUCGAAUCCCAUACAGAACAAGUAAUUCCUGCCACCAAUGGUCCAAUCCUCCAUCUACCGGCUGAGAAAGUACAGAACAAGGAUUAGUGGAAUCUAGACAGAAUCAACUUUUAUUUUUCUUUCAUUCGCAUAUUUGUUAGACAUAGGGUGGCAAUGUAUUACUUUUCUAAGACUCCAAGAAAGGUUAUAUGUUUUUGUUAGAGGUUAUGCAUUCACAGUUGUUUUUGCCAACACGGGCUGUGGAUUAAUGUUCUUAACUGAGAAUGUUCAGUAUCUGGAUGUAGGAUUAGAAUAACUCCUGUGUUUAACUUGGAGUUCAAAAGCAAAUAGCUCAACGAAAGUAAAUUCAAUUGAGAGUACAAGUACAACAACUAGAACUAAAUGACCAAAGUAAUUUCCUCUCUUACUCAACUUUCUAAUUCGGUUAUCAGUCUAUGCAGCUAA